GAUCCUGGCUUAGGAUGAACGCUGGCGGCGUGCCUAACACAUGCAAGUCGAGCGGAGGGCCGUAACGGAAGCCUUCGGGUGGAAGAUGCGGUUACUUAGCGGCGGACGGGUGAGUAACGCGUGGAUAACCUGGCUCAUACAGGGGGAUAACAGAGAGAAAUUUCUGCUAAUACCGCAUAAGCGCACGUAACCGCAUGGUUAUGUGUGAAAAGCCGAGACGGUAUGAGAUGGAUCCGCGUCCGAUUAGCCAGUUGGCGGGGUAACGGCCCACCAAAGCGACGAUCGGUAGCCGGCCUGAGAGGGCGGACGGCCACAUUGGGACUGAGACACGGCCCAGACUCCUACGGGAGGCAGCAGUGGGGGAUAUUGCACAAUGGAGGGAACUCUGAUGCCAGCGACGCCGCGUGGGUGAAGAAGUAUUUCGGUAUGCAAAGCCCUAUCAGCAGGGACGAUAAUGACGGUACCUGACUAAGAAGCCCCGGCUAACUACGUGCCAGCAGCCGC
RNAcentral lists this ribosomal RNA (504 nucleotides) under uncultured bacterium. Its description in RNAcentral is "bacterial SSU rRNA". It matches the Rfam family "Bacterial small subunit ribosomal RNA", at positions 15 to 518 of the family's 1533-position model. The record is from RNAcentral.